AAACCAAUAAACCCCUCUGUGGGUUUGUACUGGGCUCCGCAUGUAUGUGCGAUGCCUCAAAGUCAUGGUCUAACCUAUGGACGAGCUCCUCUAGGACCUGCCAUGGGUUGGCCCCCCUCUGAAUA
Molecule: unclassified non-coding RNA, 125 nt
Filed under: uncultured Archaeorhizomycetales
Lineage: Eukaryota; Fungi; Ascomycota; Archaeorhizomycetes
Description: sequence contains ITS2
Source: RNAcentral